This 202-nucleotide ribosomal RNA is filed under the name Saccharomyces cerevisiae (brewer's yeast). Its description in RNAcentral is "partial large subunit ribosomal RNA". It matches the Rfam family "Eukaryotic large subunit ribosomal RNA", at positions 80 to 279 of the family's 3401-position model. Lineage: Eukaryota; Fungi; Ascomycota; Saccharomycetes; Saccharomycetales; Saccharomycetaceae. The record is from RNAcentral.
UUAGUACGGCGAGUGAAGCGGCAAAAGCUCAAAUUUGAAAUCUGGUACCUUCGGUGCCCGAGUUGUAAUUUGGAGAGGGCAACUUUGGGGCCGUUCCUUGUCUAUGUUCCUUGGAACAGGACGUCAUAGAGGGUGAGAAUCCCGUGUGGCGAGGAGUGCGGUUCUUUGUAAAGUGCCUUCGAAGAGUCGAGUGUUUUUGGGA